GGAAUUUCAACUUCUGAGAAGUUGAAGUAUGUACUUUUCACUAUUCUUCCCACUAGGAACAAUUAAAACCCCUGCAAAUUACAUAUGAAACAAGUUUAAGAGGACUUUGAGAGAUGAAGAAAAGCAGGCAGACCAGCCAGGGACCUUGCAGCCUGAAGAAGGACAGGAAGGGCACGAGAGCCUCUUCACAUGCCCAGGGACAUGGUGAAGUCAGAGGGCACUGAUAAUGGGACCUCUCCACACCCCUUCCUACCUAGAGUCACCAAGCAGCCUGAUCAGGGGAAAUGCAUUCUACCUUCCCAGGCAGUAUCAGCAGUACCAGCAAGAGCAUCGGCAGCACCAGAUAAACCAAGCAGACCAAAGUAACAUUGCAAAUAGUAAAAAUAAACCUGCCAUUGGAAAUACAUCAGAGCAAAGCAGGCCAAUACCUACAUACUAACCUAAAAGGUGUGACUUCUCCCCAAAAUAAAAUGUUUAAAUAGGAUCCAGAGUCUCUAAACAUAAUCAAAAACAUGUCUAGGACACAAUAAGCAAUCACUUAUGAUAUCUAGUAAUCAAAAACAUUACAGUUUAAAUGAGAAAAGGAAAUCAACUAACACAAGAAGACAAAUCAGAUAUUGGAAUUAUCUGACCACAACUUUAAAGCAGUCAUCAUAAAAAUGCUUCAAAAUUCAAUUGCAUGUUUUCUUGAAAUAAAUGAAAAAAUUAGAAAACCUUAACAGAAAAAUAGAAGUGAUAAAAAAUAAACUAAUGAACAAGUCUUUCUUCUCCUUGGUUAAGUUUAUUCCUAAGUAUAUUGUUCUUUUUGAUGCUAUUGUAAAUGGAAUUUUUAAUAUCUCAUUUUCUGGUACUUCAUUGUUAGCAUAUAAAAAUACAACUGACUUUGUAUGUUUAUUUUGCAUCCUGAAAAUUUACUAAAUUUGUUUAUUCUAAGUUUUUUGUGGAGUUUUAAGGAUUUUUACUAUAUGUUUAUGUCAUCUGCAAACAGAUAAUUUUGUUGCUUUCUUU
RNAcentral lists this long non-coding RNA (1008 nucleotides) under Homo sapiens (human). Its description in RNAcentral is "HSALNT0019430". Lineage: Eukaryota; Metazoa; Chordata; Mammalia; Primates; Hominidae. The record is from RNAcentral.